GAAUGUGAGGGCAAUCUGGCUGCAACAUGUGUCACCCCAUUGAUCGCCAGAGUGGUUUUGGCUGAUCUGGCUGGCUAGGCAGAUGUCCCCUUCCUCCCUCACUGCUCCAUGUAUGCCCUUCCCCAAGCUGUGUGCUCAUGCUUCAUGGCAGAGAAUGGCCUUCCCCAAUAGAUGAAGCCCGUUCUUUAGCCAAGGAUAUACGUGUAGCUGUGCUCCCCUACUAGAACCUCCAAACUGGUUCUCCAGGUCCAUUUGUAGGAGAACGUAGGGUAGUCAGGCUUCCAAGACUCCAGACACAUCCAAAAGGAUGCUGCAUGUGGCAGUCUGCCUUUCUUU
RNAcentral lists this small nuclear RNA (336 nucleotides) under Felis catus (domestic cat). RNAcentral describes it as "7SK RNA". It matches the Rfam family "7SK RNA". From Rfam's summary of the family: 7SK was discovered as an abundant small nuclear RNA in the mid-70s but a possible function has only recently been suggested. Lineage: Eukaryota; Metazoa; Chordata; Mammalia; Carnivora; Felidae. The record is from Rfam by way of RNAcentral.